Molecule: long non-coding RNA, 969 nt
Filed under: Citrus sinensis (sweet orange)
Lineage: Eukaryota; Viridiplantae; Streptophyta; Magnoliopsida; Sapindales; Rutaceae
Description: long non-coding RNA (CSIN_LNC000802)
Source: RNAcentral
CCAAGAGUACGUAGGAAAUACAGGACUUGGUGUUAAAAGUUGAUAACUAAACACCUUCAACACAAUUACAAUGAAGACAUUAAUAUGCUAGAUCCAGUGAAAUAACAUCAAAAGUAGCAUAGGCCAAAUCUUAAAAUAAUUUCUCAUGACAACAAUUGACUAGAAGCAUUACAUCCAAAUAAUGUUGGCAUUUUUCAAUCAUAAGGAAAACUUGUACUUCUCCAGUGCCUGCAAAAAUUACCGAACUUGAAUAUUGUAUGAUAGUGAUGAAUGAUAAAAAAAAAAAAUGCUAAAGCAAGAUAAUGCACAUCAAGAGGUGCAAUCCUAGCUUCAAAGUCUUUAUAACCGCUUUAUUAUGCACAAUUGUAGAAUCUUAUUUAAUAAAUAGAAACAAGAGGCUAUGCAAAAGGCAAUUGAAAUUAUUUUUCCUAAUGCACAAUUCUAACUUUAAAUUCUAAUGCAUAAUCAAGAAGUACAAUUCUAGAUUUUGAGGGAAAACAAGUGAAGAAUAUAAUUCAAUCACAAUGGAAGAAACUAAAAGUUGCAACCAUAACCACCAUUUAUAUUGAAAGAUGAAAUGAGAAACGAUUUCUUUUUCAUCCUAUAAAUUAUCGUUUCAGCUUAGUUUGUCAGCAACCAAUGGACCAUGUUAUCAAAUGAUAAAAGUUAUUUUAUUAGCAACAUAAUUAAACUGAAUUAGGAUACAUUUUUCACUUUCAAAAGUUCAGAGAAGUAAAAAGCCCAAAACAAAUAAUAUGAAAUAUUUCAGCAACACCUUGAAUCUUAACCAAAAAUAUUUAAUUAUUUGUUAUCAAAAACAUGAAUUUAAGGUCUGAAAAUAAAAUCUGAAAUAAAAAUACAUGCAUAAAUUAGAAUGAUAAAAGAAUUAAGCAGUACCUAAAGUGGUAGUUUAAGAAUCAACCUAACAGAAAUUUCAACACCCUUUCAUCAUCUUUAUGUGAGGUUCUU